UUUAUAUUUAAUUUUAGAUAUUUCUCAUUUUUAUGAAUAUAUCAUAAAUACAGACAAAAUAGCAUUAGAAGUUUACAGUAAACUUGUUUACUUGUUCAUGUACACACUUCUAAGGGGGAAAAAACGGAUUUGUUUCUCGAAAUCUCUAGAAGUACAUGUUUUUCAGUAAAAGUGGGCGGAGCUAAAUGUGUUUACAUCGUGCUGGUCAACAUAACUGGCUGGCUGGGAAUAUUUUGAGGGAUCAAGGCCAAGCGUCAAGGACUAUUUUAUUUUCUCGUCGCUUCUUGAAAAGUCUAUGAGUAGAGUAUAAAAGAUGACCGCGCACCUCACCCCGAUCAGAUUGACACAUAGACCUAUUGCUGAAAACGUUUGGGUAGAUCUUCACAAGUCAAGCGUCCGUGCUCA
This is a non-coding RNA of Biomphalaria pfeifferi, 405 nucleotides long. NCBI's taxonomy places the organism in Eukaryota, Metazoa, Mollusca, Gastropoda, Planorbidae. The record is from the annotation of a GenBank genome assembly.